Molecule: long non-coding RNA, 263 nt
Filed under: Mytilus galloprovincialis (Mediterranean mussel)
Lineage: Eukaryota; Metazoa; Mollusca; Bivalvia; Mytilida; Mytilidae
Source: RNAcentral
AUAUAUUAGUACUAUUGUUAUCUUCUCGUACAGGGACAUAACAGUAAAUUCAGUAGGUAUAUUUUGAUUCAACUGGAACAAUCUGCUUGACCUGAGUUGAGUAUUUAAAUUCACCUAUUAUACACAGUUUUUAGCGAUCAAGCGCAGCGUAUUAAGGUAGACACGUUCAAAUUCUGGAAUAAAGUUACCACACAUUUUCAUAUGCGUUUUAUUUAUAAUCGAUGUAUGAUUUCAAGAAAAGAAAAACGAAUUUAAUACAAAGG